UCUGACGAGCACGCCGCGUGAGUGAAGAAGGUUUUCGGAUCGUAAAGCUCUGUUGUCAGCAAAGAACAGGAGAAAGAGGCAAUGCUUUUUUCUAUGACGGUAGCUGACCAGAAAGCCCACGGCUAACUACGUGCCAGCAGCCGCGGUAAUACGUAGGUGGCAAGCGUUGUCCGGAUUUAUUGGGCGUAAAGCGAGCGCAGGCGGUGAUUUAAGUCUGAUGUGAAAGCCCCCAGCUCAACUGGGGAGGGUCAUUGGAAACUGGAUCACUUGAGUGCAGAAGAGGAGAGUGGAAUUCCAUGUGUAGCGGUGAAAUGCGUAGAUAUAUGGAGGAACACCAGUGGCGAAGGCGGCUCUCUGGUCUGUAACUGACGCUGAGGCUCGAAAAGCGUGGGGUAGCAAACAGGAUUAGAUACCCUGGUAGUCCACGCCGUAAACGAUGAGUGCUAAGUGUUGGAGGGUUUCCGCCCUUCAGUGCUGCAGUUAACGCAUUAAGCACUCCGCCUGGGGAGUACGACCGCAAGGUUGAAACUCAAAGGAAUUGACGGGGGCCCGCACAAGCGGUGGAGCAUGUGGUUUAAUUAGAAGCAACGCGAAGAACCUUACCAGGUCUUGACAUCCUUUGACCGCCCUAGAGAUAGGGUUUCCCCUUCGGGGGCAAAGUGACAGGUGGUGCAUGGUUGUCGUCAGCUCGUGUCGUGAGAUGUUGGGUUAAGUCCCGUAACGAGCGCAACCCUUAUUGUUAGUUGCCAGCAUUGCGUUGGGCACUCUAGCAAGACUGCCGGUGACAAACCGGAGGAAGGCGGGGAUGACGUCAAAUCAUCAUGCCC
This 827-nucleotide ribosomal RNA is filed under the name Tetragenococcus halophilus. Its description in RNAcentral is "bacterial SSU rRNA". It matches the Rfam family "Bacterial small subunit ribosomal RNA", at positions 382 to 1200 of the family's 1533-position model. Lineage: Bacteria; Bacillati; Bacillota; Bacilli; Lactobacillales; Enterococcaceae. The record is from RNAcentral.